UACGGGGGGGGCAAGCGUUGUUCGGAAUUACUGGGCGUAAAGGGCUCGUAGGUGGCCAACUAAGUCAGACGUGAAAUCCCUCAGCUUAACUGGGGAACUGCGUCUGAUACUGGAUGGCUUGAGUUUGGGAGAGGGACGCGGAAUUCCUGGUGUAGCGGUGGAAUGCGCAGAUAUCAGGAGGAACACCGGUGGCGAAGGCGGGUCUCUGGGCAGUAACUGACGCUGAGGAGCGAAAGCGUGGGGAGCGAACAGG
Molecule: ribosomal RNA, 253 nt
Filed under: uncultured bacterium
Lineage: Bacteria
Description: partial 16S ribosomal RNA
Rfam family: Bacterial small subunit ribosomal RNA
Source: RNAcentral